This 492-nucleotide ribosomal RNA is filed under the name uncultured bacterium. Its description in RNAcentral is "partial 16S ribosomal RNA". It matches the Rfam family "Bacterial small subunit ribosomal RNA", at positions 29 to 507 of the family's 1533-position model. The record is from RNAcentral.
AGCGAACGCUGGCGGUAGGCCUAACACAUGCAAGUCGAACGGCAGCACAGUAAGAGCUUGCUCUUACGGGUGGCGAGUGGCGGACGGGUGAGGAAUACAUCGGAAUCUACUUUUUCGUGGGGGAUAACGUAGGGAAACUUACGCUAAUACCGCAUACGACCUACGGGUGAAAGCAGUGGAUCUUCGGACCUUGCGCGAUUGAAUGAGCCGAUGUCGGAUUAGCUAGUUGGCGAGGUAAAGGCCCACCAAGGCGACGAUCCGUAGCUGGUCUGAGAGGAUGAUCAGCCACACUGGAACUGAGACACGGUCCAGACUACUACGGGAGGCAGCAGUGGGGAAUAUUGGACAAUGGGCGCAAGCCUGAUCCAGCCAUACCGCGUGGGUGAAGAAGGCCUUCGGGUUGUAAAGCCCUUUUGUUGGGAAAGAAAAGCAGCAGGUUAAUACCCCGCUGUUCUGACGGUACCCAAAGAAUAAGCACCGGCUAACUUCGUG